AUACACGUGGCCGAUGCCGGUGAAAGUGUAGUAUGGGUUCUUAUCAGCAUAAUAUCUGACGCCGCUUGCAUUUGGACCUACACUAUUAAACUUAUUCUUGCAGUUUGGCGGAUUGCUUAAAGCCUGCUUCACCGCCGCCGCGGAUCGGACCGGUAUUUCACUAUCUUCGGGAUCGGCCCACUUAUG
This is a small nuclear RNA of Dermacentor andersoni, 186 nucleotides long. RefSeq annotates it as U2 spliceosomal RNA. Lineage: Eukaryota; Metazoa; Arthropoda; Arachnida; Ixodida; Ixodidae. The record is from RefSeq and is a predicted model, not a curated record.